UGCGCAGGCGGUUAUAUAAGACAGAUGUGAAAUCCCCGGGCUCAACCUGGGAACUGCAUUUGUGACUGUAUAGCUAGAGUACGGCAGAGGGGGAUGGAAUUCCGCGUGUAGCAGUGAAAUGCGUAGAUAUUAGGAGGAACACCAGUGGCGAAGGCGGCUUACUGGACGGUAACUGACGUUGAGGCUCGAAAGCGUGGGAGCAAACA
This 206-nucleotide ribosomal RNA is filed under the name uncultured bacterium. Its description in RNAcentral is "partial 16S ribosomal RNA". It matches the Rfam family "Bacterial small subunit ribosomal RNA", at positions 568 to 774 of the family's 1533-position model. The record is from RNAcentral.